Lacerta agilis (Sand lizard) is the source of this 74-nucleotide non-coding RNA. NCBI's taxonomy places the organism in Eukaryota, Metazoa, Chordata, Lepidosauria, Squamata, Lacertidae. The record is from the annotation of a RefSeq genome assembly.
GCCUGGAUAGCUCAGUUGGUUAGAGCGUGGUACCGAUAAUGCCAAGGUUACAGGUUCAAUCCCUGUAUGGGGCA